AUUGAACGCUGGCGGCAGGCCUAACACAUGCAAGUCGAGCGGAUGAAGGGAGCUUGCUCCUGGAUUCAGCGGCGGACGGGUGAGUAAUGCCUAGGAAUCUGCCUGGUAGUGGGGGAUAACGUCCGGAAACGGGCGCUAAUACCGCAUACGUCCUGAGGGAGAAAGUGGGGGAUCUUCGGACCUCACGCUAUCAGAUGAGCCUAGGUCGGAUUAGCUAGUUGGUGGGGUAAAGGCCUACCAAGGCGGCGAUCCGUAACUGGUCUGAGAGGAUGAUCAGUCACACUGGAACUGAGACACGGUCCAGACUCCUACGGGAGGCAGCAGUGGGGAAUAUUGGACAAUGGGCGGAAGCCUGAUCCAGCCAUGCCGCGUGUGUGAAGAAGGUCUUCGGAUUGUAAAGCACUUUAAGUUGGGAGGAAGGGCAGUAAGUUAAUACCUUGCUGUUUUGACGUUACCAACAGAAUAAGCACCGGCUAACUUCGUG
This 484-nucleotide ribosomal RNA is filed under the name uncultured bacterium. Its description in RNAcentral is "partial 16S ribosomal RNA". It matches the Rfam family "Bacterial small subunit ribosomal RNA", at positions 30 to 507 of the family's 1533-position model. The record is from RNAcentral.